Long non-coding RNA from Gossypium arboreum, 913 nucleotides. RefSeq lists it as uncharacterized. NCBI's taxonomy places the organism in Eukaryota, Viridiplantae, Streptophyta, Magnoliopsida, Malvales, Malvaceae. The record is from RefSeq and is a predicted model, not a curated record. The transcript is spliced from 3 exons.
UCUAUAGGCCCCAUUUGUUGCUUCCAAGCUUAGUAUUUGAAGCAGGCAAAAGCUUCUUCAACGGGCAUAUGGAAACAUUUAGGCUCUGUUUGUUUGCAAGUAUUUGGUUUUCCAGAAAACAUUUUCCUACUUUUACGGUGUUUGGUUGCAAGAAAACAUUUUACAGUUGGAAAAUAUUUUCCAAUACACGGGUAAAAUCUCAUUCGUUUUUGGGAAAAUGUCUUACGGAUUUUUUUUGUGUAAGACAUUUUCCAUCUCCUUCUUGUCCAGGCAAAGGCCAAUCUCAUUCCUCUCUUUCUCUCUUUCUCAGGCAAAUCUCAUUCCUCUUCGCAAGGUCUUGACUUAAGCAAAGUGUGAAGGAGGAAGUGGCAAACAUAAUAGCACCCCUGAUGGUGAGACCAAUAACACGGUGGCCUUUCUUUGCCUUCUUGGGUGGUGCAAUGUUCUGCUUGCUGGCUAGCAACACAUGCCACCUUCUUUCUUUCCCCUCUGAGCGCCUAUCAUAUAUCAUGCUCAGGCUAGACUAUGCUGGGAUGGCGGCUCUCAUUUCUACUUCCUUGUAUCCUCCAGUGUAUUACUGAAAGAAGUAGCUAAAAUGAAACUAGAGAACUAGAGAAGAGUCGAUUACUGAAAGAAGUAGCUAAAAUUUAUCUGCGGUUGAAUUUAUGCUCAACCCAUUGUUAGUGAAGUGUAUAUUCUUCAUUAAAUCAGUCUUACAGCUCUAAGAACCAUUAGCUUUCAGCCUUAAUUUAUGUUCUAAACAUGCAAAUACUUGUAAUAAUGUGGCAGAGACAAGAACUUAAUGUUUUGGAGGUUUUAACUUCUAUGCAUUAAUGUACACAGCUUGUAUACUUAUAAUGGGGGGUGGAUGAUAAAUGGCAGAGAAUAGCCUGUAAAAUUUGACUUACAACAA